This 584-nucleotide long non-coding RNA is filed under the name Serinus canaria (Common canary). RNAcentral describes it as "lncRNA (ENSSCAG00000014669.1)". The record is from RNAcentral. Lineage: Eukaryota; Metazoa; Chordata; Aves; Passeriformes; Fringillidae.
GUUCACUAUAGACCCUGGAAGAUUUCAUAACAUCUCUCUAGGACAAAAGCAGGUGAUGGUUGCAAAGGAGGCACUCAAGAAAGCUGCCCCACAUGGCCAUUGGGUUCUUUUCCAAGUGGGUUCCACAGGAAGACUCCUUAGUGAGAUCAUGUAAGGUGGCCACAUCACAGGUGCCUGGGACUGCAGGCUCUGCUGGAUCUGUCUGCAAGAAUUCCUCAGCCCAGCCCUGCUUGAAAGGGAGCUUGGCACCAUGUUUCUUGGCCUCUCCAAAUCCGGUUUACGAUAGAUACCACAAAUACAUAGAUGAAAUGCUUCCAUCUGAAAGCCCUGUACUAUAUGGACUGCACCCUAGUGCUGAGAUGGGAUUCUUGUCAACAUCAGAUAAUCUCUUCAAAAUUCCUUUGGAAAAGCAACCCAUAUAUACGUGGGAGAGGGAUCAGGCCAAUCUGCGUGAAGAGGGGGAGCUGAUGUUUUCUGCUCACAUGGAAAUGCCACAUUAUACACAAUAUAUACUCUUCUGUGAUGUUGUGCCAGACACAUGGACUAAACCAGCGUAUGCACCCACACACAACUUUGUCCACUGA